This is a long non-coding RNA of Dendronephthya gigantea, 453 nucleotides long. RefSeq lists it as uncharacterized. The transcript is spliced from 3 exons. NCBI's taxonomy places the organism in Eukaryota, Metazoa, Cnidaria, Anthozoa, Malacalcyonacea, Nephtheidae. The record is from RefSeq and is a predicted model, not a curated record.
UUUAAUGGAAUGGAUGUUUUAUAUUGAUGCCAUGCGAUAUCAAUAGAUCGGAACAUUUAUAAUUGAGUCAAGCAACAGAUAGUGCUUCAUCGCCUACAGACGAAGUGUAGCGUAAAAGACUGUAAAGAAAAUCGCCUGGAUCAUCGGGAUCGUUCGAAUUCACGAGUUUAGACGCAAGGCUCUCCAAUUUCUGGGAUACAUCUUCUUGUCUAACUUCGAUGUAUGUUCGGGCUAAGUAAAACAACAACCACGAAAGGUCGCUUCCGCUGGGGGAUUUCACUGGAAUACACGAUGCCAGACAUUGCAAUAAGCUGUUUACAAAGCAACGAUUUUUCUUCGGUGGAUUUUCUAGUCCUUUCAAAAGAAAGAGUGCAACAAUGAACAAGAAGUCGUUUCAUGAAUACGUGUGUAGCUGGUUGCAUCAUGUUGAGGAAAUAGUUGUCUUUGUUCAUU